This 283-nucleotide ribosomal RNA is filed under the name uncultured Hyphomicrobiales bacterium. RNAcentral describes it as "uncultured Rhizobiales bacterium partial 16S ribosomal RNA". It matches the Rfam family "Bacterial small subunit ribosomal RNA", at positions 502 to 784 of the family's 1533-position model. Lineage: Bacteria; Pseudomonadati; Pseudomonadota; Alphaproteobacteria; Hyphomicrobiales. The record is from RNAcentral.
CUUGUGCCAGCAGCCGCGGUAAUACGAAGGGGGCUAGCGUUGUUCGGAUUUACUGGGCGUAAAGCGCACGUAGGCGGACUAUUAAGUCAGGGNGUGAAAUCCCGGGGCUCAACCCCGGAACUGCCUUUGAUACUGGUAGUCUCGAGUCCGGAAGAGGUGAGUGGAAUUCCGAGUGUAGAGGUGAAAUUCGUAGAUAUUCGGAGGACACCAGUGGCGAAGGCGGCUCACUGGUCCGGUACUGACGCUGAGGUGCGAAAGCGUGGGGAGCAAACAGGAUUAGAUA